Molecule: long non-coding RNA, 790 nt
Organism: Lynx canadensis (Canada lynx)
Lineage: Eukaryota; Metazoa; Chordata; Mammalia; Carnivora; Felidae
Exons: 3
Source: RefSeq, a predicted model, not a curated record
ACAUGCCUGGUUGAAAUCGUGGCGGACGUGUGGCGGAAUUUCGCACUUUUGUCAGCUCUGCUUUAUUUCCAACCAGACGUCCUUUGCAUGGAGGAAAAACGAACAUAUGGAGGCCCCCAAAUGUGGGGUGAAUGGAUCAGGUGGAAGAUGGCAGCGUGGGUGGUGAAAGAAUUCACCAUAGGCAGAGCAAAGGAGAUAGAAGUUUACUGAAUAAACUGCAAGGGAACGACAGCCACAUCAGAUGGCCUCGCUGUGCUUGGAGAAACAAAUGAACAACCAGAAGGUCAACAAAAACAGCUCUUCCAUGCACCUGACAUUAUGACCCAUGAACUUCCCAAUGAGACAAGAACAACUUUAUCCUGAUGGUGACCGAGAGUGGCGCUGAUGCCACGUUUGGGGCCAAUCGCUCAUGUAUGAGAGAAUGACCAAAAGGGGGAACUCUUAAAUUCUCAACAAAAUUCUCCUCUUAGAAGGAGGCCAUGAGACUGAGGUGGUUCUAAUACCCCGGGAGUUUGGGUAAGCAAACCCAAGCCAAAGCCUGUAAACGCCUCAAGGAUAAGAGAUCAAAACCUAAGGACAACCAACCAGUUGAGCUUUUCCAUGUCCAGCACACUGAAGCUACAAUCAAUCAAAUAAUUUCCUUGCUUGGCUUCCACAUCUUUUCUAUAAAAGUCUCUCCCCUAGCUCCUGUUGGGGGAGCACUUCUGGCCAGUUCUGACUGGGCACUGCCUGAUGUGAAUUGAUUUUUACUCAAAUAAACGCUUAAUAUUUCUAAUAUGUCUCUGUCUUU